AAGAGUUAAGAAAAACUCCAAACCCAUGUGAACAUACCUAUUCGUUGCCUCGGCGUGGUUCGUACAUCCUAUAAGGAUGUAUUAUACAGCCCGCCGGUGGCCCCUAAAACUCUGUUUAUUUGGUUAUCUGAGUGUUUUACUUGAAAUAAGUCA
This 153-nucleotide unclassified non-coding RNA is filed under the name uncultured Ascomycota. RNAcentral's name for it is "sequence contains ITS1". The record is from RNAcentral. Lineage: Eukaryota; Fungi; Ascomycota.